GGGCGCGUGGUGUAAUGGAUAGCAUCUUGGCCUUCUAAGCCGAGGAUGGGGGUUCGAUUCCCUCCGUGCCUG
RNAcentral lists this transfer RNA (72 nucleotides) under Marinobacter sp. RNAcentral describes it as "tRNA-Arg". It matches the Rfam family "tRNA". From Rfam's summary of the family: Transfer RNA (tRNA) molecules are approximately 80 nucleotides in length. Their secondary structure includes four short double-helical elements and three loops (D, anti-codon, and T loops). Lineage: Bacteria; Pseudomonadati; Pseudomonadota; Gammaproteobacteria; Pseudomonadales; Marinobacteraceae. The record is from RNAcentral.